GACGAACGCUGGCGGUGUGCUUAACACAUGCAAGUCGAACGGUAAGGCCCUUUCGGGGGUCCACGAGUGGCGCACGGGUGAGUAACACGUGAGUAACCUGCCCUCAUCUCUGGGAUAACAGUCGGAAACGGUUGCUAAUACUGGAUAUGAGCUUGCAAGGCAUCUUGUGGGUUGGAAAGAUUUUUUUGGUUGGGGAUGGACUCGCGGCCUAUCAGCUUGUUGGUGAGGUAGUGGCUCACCAAGGCUUCGACGGGUAGCCGGCCUGAGAGGGCGACCGGCCACAUUGGGACUGAGAUACGGCCCAAACUCCUACGGGAGGCAGCAGGGGGGAAUAUUGCACAAUGGACGGAAGUCUGAUGCAGCAACGCCGCGUGCGGGAUGACGGCCUUCGGGUUGUAAACCGCUUUCAAUUGUGACGAAGCUUUUUGUGACGGUAGCAGUAGAAGAAGCACCGGCUAACUACGUG
RNAcentral lists this ribosomal RNA (466 nucleotides) under uncultured bacterium. RNAcentral describes it as "partial 16S ribosomal RNA". It matches the Rfam family "Bacterial small subunit ribosomal RNA", at positions 28 to 507 of the family's 1533-position model. The record is from RNAcentral.